RNAcentral lists this transfer RNA (84 nucleotides) under Actinomycetota bacterium. RNAcentral describes it as "tRNA-Leu". It matches the Rfam family "tRNA". Rfam says of the family: Transfer RNA (tRNA) molecules are approximately 80 nucleotides in length. Their secondary structure includes four short double-helical elements and three loops (D, anti-codon, and T loops). Lineage: Bacteria; Bacillati; Actinomycetota. The record is from RNAcentral.
GCCGAAGUGGCGGAACUGGCAGACGCGCCGGACUCAAAAUCCGGUGGCCUUCGGGCCGUGUGGGUUCAAGUCCCACCUUCGGCA